AGCAAUUUCACCUCGAAAAUUAUUUCCCAAUACACGGUGCCAAUAUCCAAAUAUCAUAUCCCUUUUUUGUAUUGCAACGGACAAUUUCAAUCCAUCCUGAAUGAAGAUUGUCGUCCGCCAUUUUAUGGAAUCAAUUUAUAGAAAUUCGAAAGGCUGGCGGCGUAGUUUUAUCUUCAAAAAUAUCGGCAAAAAUGGACAAUGGGGAAACCUCGACGAUCGGGAGUCGAAAUCGAACGCUGGAUUCGAGGAAGGUGCGUGCAAGGUGUCGAAAAAAGGGAGGGGAUAGGAGGAGGAAGAGGGAGGGGGAAAAAUGAAAAAUUCACGGGCUUUGUUCCGACGAGCAUGACUCGAUGGUGUUGGGAUCGGUUUACGUUUCACAGGAAAGGUGGGAAACCCGCGCUACAGCUUUUUAUUACGCGGAUAUUGGGUUUCAUGGGAUCGAUGAUGAGUCCUGAGAUCCAUGAAGUGGAAAGUGCAUGUAAUUGAUCGUAUUCCUUGUGUGUUUAAGUAUCGUUUUUAUAUUGUAUUAACGUAUUCGACUGUUUGGAAUUGUGAGGUUAAAGGUUUCUGGAGAAGGAAAAGGUGGCAAUCAGUGUCCUUCACUAGCCACCUUGUUUAAUAGUGCAUAUCCAUUUAUAUCGGACGUGGGGAUCGCCAAGGGGAGAUGUCUGCAUAGCGAUUCACGAAGAUGUCAGAUGAGUUAGGUGUGGUGAGACUGACGUGCUCUAACAAGUCUCUCGAGUUACGCUUCGUUGUUCUCGUUGCUUCUUUCCUGGUUUAAUUAAAAAUGUCUGUACACCACGUUGAUGGAAGUGGAGGGAAAGUUGUUUUUAUAUAUAACGAAUUUUUCAACCGGUAGAAAAACUUGA
Molecule: long non-coding RNA, 869 nt
Filed under: Apis dorsata (giant honeybee)
Lineage: Eukaryota; Metazoa; Arthropoda; Insecta; Hymenoptera; Apidae
Description: uncharacterized LOC102679363, transcript variant X1
Source: RNAcentral